GCUGGAUCUCAAGUUUAAGAACUUUUGAUUUUCAUUGCACAAAUACUGUUCUUACUUUUUUUUCUUUUCAUUACACUGAAAGCCAUACAGUACCACACAGGCAAGUUAAUUAUUUUGGAAAGUUACUCUCAAAACAGAAAUUCAGAAAAUUUCACUCGUGCGAUAGCUCUGGAAUGGCUAACUCAACAAACUACAGCGGUUAUUCCCAUUUGUAAUGCAAAGCUCAGAAUACCAUGGCAUAGAUACUGCUAUUGCCCAUCCAAAUAAACAGAAGCACUUACCCAAGAUCCCAGAGUAAGCAAGUUCCACAGCUGGGAUAAAGAUCAGUAUUCAGGUUGCAGGCUCUGACAUCCUCACUGCUUCUCCAUUGUUUCUCUCUGGGUGCUUAAUACACACAAAAGUAAUACCAAAUUUCUGCCCAUAAAGGCAGAAUUGGUGGAAUAUGUCAAGUUUUUGACAACAGACAAUGUUGAAGCAAUGCCCAAUCUCAACGUGAGGAAAAAGCUUCAGAAUGGAGGAACAGCAGAAGUGGAGUGGAAACUUUAUACCGAAGCUCAGUAGAAAUCCCAGUCUCCUUAGGCAUGAGAUGGAGGAACCAUUGCAAAGAAGAGGAAACCUAAAAUGGCUCUCCACAUUUGGAAGAGGAUGCUUUCUCGUAUUCGUCAGAAUAACAUGGAUGUUGAAAAAGACACAAAUGAAGAAAUUGUGUGCAACCUAUGACUGUCACUUCUUAUUAUAUGAGACAUCUAUAAUACUAUGUUGGCCACAGUUCAUGAUGUUCCUAUGUAGUGGUCAAUACAUUUAUAAAUGUGGAACUGAAAUUUCUUCUGGAAAUAAAAUAUACCUCAAGAACAAAUUGAGCAAAAAGGUAUUUAUGGUGUUGAAAUAUAUGAAUACAAACUGGACACAUAUUGAAUACUUUGAACUUUAAAUGACAAAGCAUAUCCACAUAGCAAACCACACACAGACAAGGAAAUUACUUUAAAAAUUUGCAAAGCCACAAUCCAUCAAAUAGCAUAUGCCAGG
Molecule: long non-coding RNA, 1026 nt
Filed under: Oryctolagus cuniculus (rabbit)
Lineage: Eukaryota; Metazoa; Chordata; Mammalia; Lagomorpha; Leporidae
Description: lncRNA (ENSOCUG00000036436.1)
Source: RNAcentral